CUUCUUUUUCAGAUUAUUUGUUAUUAUCUUUACUGAUUUCAUUCUCCUUGUUUCAGAUUGUUUGGAUUUUGUUAUGUUUUAAAAGUUACUUAUUUUAUUGGAAUUUGGAUUUAAUUUUUUUGGGAUAUAAAUUUGUUCGUUACUUCGACAUCUAUUUGAGAUGAUUUUAUUAAUUUAUUUAUUUCGUUUCCGUGCAUUUCUAUGCUCUGUCAUCAACUGGUUUUGAAUUUAGGAGAAAAGAUUAUUAAUUUGUUUAUGUUUGUGAGAUUUCAUGGCUUGGUAGCUAAUAUUUGAUUGUUCAAGCCUUUCGUAGCUAACCUAUAUAUACACACACAUAUAUAUAUUUAUUUAUAUGUGAGAUUCCAUGGCUUGUUAGCCAAGAUCUGAUUUUUCAGCCUUUCAUAAACCACUACCACCAUAAUACUCCCCAUGGUUUGAACUUCAAAGCCAGUACCUCGUUGCACCAUUCACGACUCUUGAGGGCAGCACAGUCGCGAGCCACUGUCAUUGACCAAGCUAAAAUUUUUCAAUAUUGUGACUCGUUUCGAACUAUAGAAACAAACUGUUAAACUCAUCAAGAAAUCAAUGGACAUGAAGUACAUACAUGCUGCUGAAAAAAAUUAGGUGGACUGAGAUUUCUAAACUUAUAAUUGUCUUGAUUCUGAGUUCCUACCAAGAACUAAUAUGGUAACAAAUUAAUUAAGGGUUUAUUAUGAAAUGGAGAGUUCUAUUUUGCUUUAAUUAUUUUUUUUCUGGCUUCAAUUUCGUUUCAAAUUCUCUGCCCUGUAUGUGUUCUUCUUUAUUUUAUUUUUCUUGCAGAUUUAGUGAUUGCAAGUAGUAAAGGAUAGUCUCUUGCUCAUUCUUCAAAGGUUUUGCAGCAUAUGAUGAGUGGUCUCAUUACUUGCGUGUGCAUCUCAAUCUGUGGUUGAUAAGUAAAAAAUAGUUUAUUCCAUAGCCAUAUUUUACACUUGAUUAUUUCCGUUGGAUUAUUUUAAAGAAACUGAACAUGUAUGUUCUGCUGUUCUAGAACAAUAGAAAUGGAAAGUAGUAUCGAUAGAGAGGGAGGAUGACUUGGAUACUCUUUUGGAAAAGUAAUUGAUAUUUUAUUCUAUGAGAAUUGCACAGAAAGCUUCAAUGUGUUGGACUUCAAAGACUUAGCAAUAUUAAAAAAUUGGUGUAAUUAGAUUGCAAUAUUAAAAAAUUGGUGUAAUUAGAUUUAUAAUACAUUUACAAGUCCAAUUUAGUUGGUGCUUGAAUUGAGUUUGUUAGAAAUGUUUUGUAUUUGAUUAUAUGAAUAUUUUGUUGUUUUAGAUAA
Long non-coding RNA from Cannabis sativa, 1315 nucleotides. RefSeq lists it as uncharacterized. The transcript has 4 exons. The record is from RefSeq and is a predicted model, not a curated record. Lineage: Eukaryota; Viridiplantae; Streptophyta; Magnoliopsida; Rosales; Cannabaceae.